UUUUUUUGAUUUUUCGGCUUUUGGCCAUUCUUUUGAACUUUCACAAAAUUUGCCCCAGUUUAUUUUGAACUGAGGUUCUCUUUUCUUCUUUUGUUUUUGAUUUUGUUGCUUUUCACUUUUCCGCUUCUUGAAAUUUUCCUUUUUCAAACCAACUUGCCCCAGUGUGGGGUUUGCGAUUCUCAGGGGUUGCCAAACGAAAUAAUUUAUUCUGAAGGCUCAAAAGGGAUAACUAGGGAUAGAAUGUUCGAUUGGAAAAGAAAAUGGCCUGACUUGUAUUCCGUUCCUUACAUUGACUCUGAAAGGAAACAUUCAUUAAUGGGAAAAUUUUUAGCAUGUAUCUGAAUUAACUGAUUGAGGAAGACCCUUGUUCAUCCAUAUUUGCGAAACAUAGGCGGUCCGCGCGGACAAAACUCUUCCUUUUCUUUCUUCUUCUUUUUUUCAAAACUGGACCCCAAGUGGAAUCAAAUUUCCCCAAUUUGCGGUUCCCGCCUUACUCUAGCAUUUUUACUUCUCUCUUUUUUUCAAAAUUCCCCAAUCUCCUUCCCCAAUGUGGGGUGCGAUCAUAUGUGCACUCGAAAAGAACCACCAAUUUUUUAGCUCAAAUGAGGAUGCAAGGGAUGAUCAGUGUUUAGAUUGUAGAAAUGACGGCCAAAGUAUCACUCUUAUACCUCAUGACAACCGAAGUAGCGAAAUGGUCAUUGAAAAUCCAUUCUUCUUUUGAUAUUUGAAAAUUUUUCAAUGAAGGGUAGUGAUCAUUAAGACCCUUAUUUGAAACGAAAUUAUUCUUUUAGAAGCUCAAAUGGGAGAGCAAAUGAUAAAAAUCUGUAUAGGUAAUGAAACAAAUGCUUGAAGUAUCAUUCCAAAUUUCCCAAACAAAUAAGAACAAUGCACAUUUUUGCUUUCACUUAGAUGUGAUUGAACCAGAUUGGACACCUUGAACAUUUUCAAGCAAAAGUUGCCCCAAUUUACAAUUUAUCAAUCAAUGUGACUGAUUUUAUUUUGGAAUUAAGUGAAGGAGAAAGGUAUCUCAUAGGGCCUUUUGAGUGACCGUUCACUCUCUUUCUUUCUGAGCACUCUUAUUGUAUAACUCGGAUCACCAAUCGAGUGUAAGGAUCUUAGGAAGCAUUCACUUGUGAAUUUCCAGGCUGGAGGUUAAAAAAAUCUCAAUUUGAUUUUAUUUCUCAAAAUUCAUCGUGAAAUCUCCAAUGAGUAAGAAUAAAGAAUGAAAUGUAUAUAAAUAUACACAAGACAAUGAUUGUCCCAAAAAUUUUAUUGCUGAAAAAGUUUGAAACAAAAAUUCUCAUUCAAUUAUGAUACAAAUGAGAAGAGAGAAACUUGUAAAGAGCUCCACAUAUACACUUUUUAUCUCCCUUUCUCUUGACACAAAAAUAUACUAACAAGUCAAAUAUAUAGAAUUUUCUUUGAAAACAAUUUUUGAAAUCUCUUAGAAGCUCUUAGCCUAGAGCUUUCAGAUGGGUCUUUCAGGUUUCCAUUGUUGGAUCUGCCCAAGAAUCAAAUAAUACUUGUGAUUUUCAAACUUUAUUGGAUUAAAAUUAUCAUCAGAUAUAGAAAAAUAUUUUUGCCUUAUUGAAAUAUUCUUAUGAAUGCAGGGGGGAAGGGGGAAAACAAAAGAAAAAUACCCAGAGUUAGUAAGAAAGAAUAUAAAAUCGGUAUGCAUGUCCUAUGGGGGGACCCUUUUUGUGCCAAGGGUAGGCCUAGCAUGAAAAUGCAAUCCUCCAGAGCAGGCACUAUACAAUACCUGAUGGGUCCGAUCAGCUUAUGGAGUGAAAAAUAAUUUGAAAAAUUUGGCCCAUUGGAAUGAGAAGAGACGUUGGUCAAAAUGAGGACCUCGUCCGAAGGGAUUGAUCACUUUUGAUCGAUACAAGAAUUGGCAAAAACGCACAGGUUCGACCUUGUCGAACUUCCUAACGAAGAGAUUGGAAUUUGUUGACAAAUUUUCUCAGUGAAUUACGGGUCAAAACCCCAACUGAUCAAAUGGCUGGAUGCAAUGGAUGAUUUUCUCAAAAAUCGACUAAGUUUUGAAAUCCGACAUUAAAACCCUAAUUGGUCAAAUGAAAUUGACAAAUUAAAAAUCGACCGGAUUACCCUAAAAAAGGAAACGGGUCAAAUGAAUUGAGUGAAAUUUAAAACUUACUCAAAAUUGACCGAAUCAUCCUAAAAAAGGAACUUGGUCAAAUGAAUUGAAUGAAAUUGAGAAUUUAUUCAAAAUUGACCAGAUCGCCCUAAAAGGGUAAAUUGGUCAAAUGAAUCGACGAUUUAUUCAAAAUCGACCGGAUGACCCUAAAAAGGGUAAAUUGGUCAAAUGACCCUAAAAAGGGUAAAUUGGUCAAAUGAAUUGACGAUUUAUUCAAAAUCGACCAGGUGACCCUAAAAAGGGUAAACUGGUCAAAAUGAAUUGACGAUUUAUUGAAAUGAAUCGGCAAAAUGGAUUGGUUGAAUUGUCCGGCCAUUGGUUAUUUCAAGAUCAUUGAGGUGCAUUAGUUUAUGACCUUCUAAAAAUCAAAUUUUGGCCUUAAUUUAUUUAUCGUCUCAAAAGGAGGAAUCAUUUGUGAAUUUUUUCAAAUUAAUGUCCUUCACGCAAGGGAUUUUUACCAAUUUUUGAUAAAACGGCCAAAAAGUGAUUAUUAGAUGCUCAUAUUCCAAAGAUCACUCUAUGAAAAUAAUCGGAUCCUACCUCACCUUGUGCACUACCCCUUUGGAUGGUACAAAAUGUAAACGUGCAAGUCUCGUUGGAUUAAGUAUCCGAGACACAAGGUGGCUUAUUCCUAACACGGGAUCCCCUAAAUGGCAUUCCCUUUCUAAGGUUUAAUGCAUGAUGCCAGUUUAUUAAAGCGAUGUAAAUAUGUGACAAAUAUGGCCUAAAGGACAUGAAUAAUGCAUCGGGGGGAAAAGGUCUAAAAAUGAAAUGUACUUAUUGAAAAUCAAGUGUAAUGACUGAAACUUAAACAUGUGAGUUAUCUAAUGGGUAGGUCACUAAAAGAAUGCCGAAGAGGCCUCUUAUUGCUAAGGCAUAUGAAUGCAAGACAAGAAAACAAUGAAAUGAUUAGCACAAUUGAUAGUACACAUAACACAUUGGGAGCAAAUAAGAAAGGAAAUACAAUAAAACAAGUAAAAGGGGUGGAACCCCUUCCCUGUGCCUAAUGUGCUUAAAAGAGGGUAAGGCUGACUCUAACCUAGGAAAAUUCUAACAUGGAUGCAUGAGGCUGGGGUUCACUAAUGCAACUGGACUCGAUAAGGCUUCGGCUCCCAAGCCUUCAGACCUAAAGGCGAAGGGUCAUCACUCCCAGGGCCCUUGGUCGGUGGCUUGAGUGAUCCCUCAGGUAGCGCUAUGGGCGCAGUGCACACCAGCCGCCUACCCAAGGCAAUCGAUCCUAAUCCUACAAGGCGGUGUGGGAUAGCGCCCACGAAAAAUAAAAUAAAAUGGGAUAACAAUAAGUAAACGUGCACGUAUGAAGUGCUCCCUAUUUUGAGGGAAGGGGUUGAGAACCACGCGAGGCUCUAAAGGUGACACCCCCCCCCAAAUGCAAUGCAAGCGCGAGAUAAACAUACAUCCAAUCAAUCAUACAUACGUGAGUGAGGGGGUAGUUGAAUGCGUACGUGAGACGAAAGGUCCUAAAAAUGGAAGAUGCAACCCUAAUAUCCAAAUGCAAUGCAUAAUAAGGGUAGAAAAAGGAAACGAAUGGUUAAGUCAAAAUGCUUGGACCCACUUAGGAAGUCCCCAGUGGAGUCGCCAACUGUCGCGUCCCAUUUUUUGGAAAAAUAAAAUGAUUGUUUUUGUGAUUUUAUUGGUUUGGAAAAAGUGAAUUUUUUUGAUAAAAAUAAAAAUGGGUCUAAAUGGGACUUUUGAAAAUGCGACGAUUUGACCCAAGAAAAAUAGUUCAAAAAGGAUUUUUUAUAUGAAAAAUGGAGUCGCCACUUGGUAUAGAGUUAGGGUGUACCAAGUCACCCAAAAAGUGAAUUUUUUAAGGAAAAAAAGUAAGAAACCCUUUUGAACGACUCCUAGUCCACGCAAACAAAGAAAAAGGUUCGGGAGUCACAUUUGACGAAGGGGAAGGCAAGGAUAAAAAUCCAAGGCACCCCUUCGACCUAGCCAAGGCUAGUUGCGUGAUUUAACCCUUAUUUUCCUAAUUUUUUCUACCCAAAGUAUGUAUUUGCAAUUUGGACAAAGACUAAUGAAUGGGAAAUGCAAUCCUAAAUUCUACGAUGUCUCUCGUGAGGUUUUUGGUCCCAAACCACAUGAAUUGUGGCGGCCAAUAAAGGGAAACCUCAUAGAGGUCGAUUGAUGCAAAUGGUGACUCAAGUGCAAGUGUGCAAGUGUAUGAAAAGAUUCAUGUAUGAAAUGGUGUAAAAAACAAAGUGUUUGUGUGCGAAUGUGUAAAGAAAGUGCAUGUGUGAAUUUGUAUGAAAAUCAAAGUGUUUGUGUGUGCAAAUGAAUGAAGAUAGAGUAGUACAUAUAUAAGUGAAACUUGAAUUUCAUUUGUGAAGUAAAGUAAAUAAAUGAUAAAGAUGUAGUGAAAAAUAUGGAUUGCGAAAUAUAAGAAAAAUGUGAUUAAAAGAGUAUGGAAGUGAUGAAAGUAUGACCCUAGGGGAAUGCAACAAGUCGGGUACGGGGGUUGACUUCUAACUUUUCGACUUCGAUUUUCCCUUGGAUUAGAAGGCGAAACUAGCGUGCUAAGGCUAUCGAGUAGCCACACUCGCUCGUUUCCCUUAUCGGAGGGGGACACUCAAGCAAAAUGAACCCUAUAGCUAGUAUGGGAUGCAAAACCUAAAAUGAGAGGAAAAGGGGUUUGAGGAUCAUGCCAAAUGAUAAAACUAAGGAAAAUGUGUGAUAUGUGGUGAACAAGCAAAUGAUGUACUAUCGAGGGAAAAUCCCUAAGGGUCUAGCGUUGGACUAGCCCAUUCUAUGAAUUCCGACUAGCGUUGGACUAGUGGAAACGAUAAAAGAAGCCACAACUAGCGUUGGACUAGUGUGGUGACGUACAUUCAUCCAUUCCAUUCAUCCACACCAUAAAAAGCGAGUAGACAUGCGAAUCACUUAUAAACACGUAGCACAUAACACUUAGCAUGCUUGACUAGAUGCAAGGGCCUAAUAAAGCGAUUAAACACUUAACACGUAGGCAUGCAACCAUUACAUUUGCUAACUAAAACAAAGGGGAAAGGGGAAAUGGACCAAAUUACUUGCUACGCCCUAUCUAUUACAAGCCAAGAGGUGUACACAUACCCCAUUAAAAGAAUAACUUAAUAAAGCAAAAGUAAAUGAAAGGAAUGAAAGGAAUUAAAGAAAUGUAAAGAAAGCAAAGUAGACAUGCAAUUCACGUAACACGUAGGAGCACGUAGAAUCAAAUGAAGUGCAAAUAAAAGGGUAGAGUGUACCUUCCUUGAAAUUGGGCCCCAAUGAAGUGAACUUACUAAUUUACCCUCCAAAAUAAUAAAAAGGUCAAGGCACCAAUUUAUUUGGCAAAUAAUCACAAAGGAUAAAAAUAAGCAUGAAUUGAAUCAAUUGAAUCAUGUCAAAACCCACAUUUAAGAAGUCAAAAGAAGAAGGGACUUAAUUGCAAAAACGAACAAAGUUUUGGGGUCAAAAUUAAAGAAAAAUAAAGUUCAGGGACUUAAUUACAAUUAAUUUAAGGACCGAAUUGAAAGAAGUUGAGAAUGUCCAGGGCCACAAUACAUCUAAGGAGAAAUUCAGGGGCUGAUUUGCAAAUUUGCUUUCUGGUUUCUUAGUGGAUCAAGCCACUGGGCUAUUGCCUUUAUUUGUUUGGGCCAAAGUUUCCCAGCCCAAUGGAAAUUCAAAGCAAGAAGGGAAUGGACCAUUUUAUUUGUUCGUUUGGGCCAACCCUUCCUAGCCCAACCAAAAAACCCAAGCAAAAACAGAUGGGCUAGCUUAACUAUUUUGGCCCAAAAUUAGCCAACCACACAGAUGGGUCAUGACCCUAUGGCCCAAACCAAAAAAUUCAAAUAAACAAACUAAAACUCAUCAGCCAAAAACCCACCAAGCAAACCUUUAGCCCAAUAGGAUAACAAAUCCACUAAAACAAAUUAAGGUUUAAUUAUACCCGCAACCACAGAAAUAAUAAGUUUAGAAAUGCACCUAAAAUAUCAAGAGGAGAUGAGCAUCCAAUAGGGAUGUGAAUCGUUCAAUUACAAAUGUUUCUGGGCCGUAAUGCAAUUGGACAAAAGUUGGGGCUAAAAUAAAAAAAUUCAGAAAGUAUCAUGCAUCCUGCUCGAAGUUCUCUUGCAAUUUUUUCAUUUCUUUCUUCGGUAACUCACCCCAGGAACCACACGAAACAGAUGCGGAGCAAACAAAACUUUUUAACAAACUCAAACCCCCUUUGAUCAAUGCAACCCAGUCAUUCAUAUUAAGCCGUUGCAGAUUAAAAGAAUAUCAGUGGCCAUUUAGCCUUCCUUCGCAGAAUAAAAACAUCAAAGCAAAAACGCAAGUUAAUCAUCACUCAAGCAGAAUUUUAGCUGGGCAUUUCAUCAAACAUCUAAUGGGCAUUAAGCAUAUCAUCGAUUCUUAGCUCAAUUGGGGUGAUAAUCAACCCCAAAAUUGUCAGCAACCCAAGGAAAUUUAGUCCGGACAGUAUACAAGCUCACGUGUUCAGAAGUUUAGGCAAAUUAACAGGGGAUUCGCACCAAAAUAACACCAUGGCAAACUCAUUUCAGAAGUUUGAGAGAAACUGAAAUUUGAAGAAAAUAACUUACAGGGCUAUAAAUUCUGAAGUCGAAUUGAAUCUGGGGGGGUGGCGCUGACGGUAGACGGCUCUGUGGAGAUGGCAGUAGAAGCCCCUGCUGCUUUGAUGGCUACGGUGGCAGCAACGGCAGUGGGAGUUGAAAGGCGGCAGCAGAGGUGGAGAGUAGCAUACAGCAACAACGACGAGUGCGGCCUGGAGGUGGCUUGGGCAAGCGGUUGGCUGCUUGUUGGUCGCGCUGGAGAAGAAAGGUGGCGCACGAGGUGGAGGUGCCGUGGCGGAGCUCGGAUUGCGGCGGACCUCCUGGUCUUUGUUUCCUCACUUUGCGUUUAGUUCCUUUGCCUCUGCCCGAAAUUCCUCCUCCAAAUUCCAGAUUUCGGCUGCCAGUUUCUUUUUUUUUUAGUUCCGUUUCUUGCUCUUCCUAAAUUCCUCUCAGCUAUCUUCUCCGUUUUCUGUUCCCUUUACUCUCCGCAGCCCCCUUCUCUGUUCUUUAGCCUUUCCUUAGCCGAAUCCUCCCCUGUUUUCUUUCUUUUGCUUUGUUUUUCUUUCAGCCUUUUUCCUUUUGCUAGCAGCCCCUUCUCUGUUUUUCUGGUUUUUUCUUCCCUUAGCUCCGCCCAAAACCUUCCCCUGUUUUUCCUUUUCAUUCCCUCGCUUGCCCCCCAGCCGAGAGCUUCCUUCGAUUUUUUUUAGCCUUUUGUACCUUUUCUCCUCUCUUAGACCUCCAGGUGUCUCAAACACCUACCCCUCCCUAAACACUUGUCCUACCAUUCCUUAACCACUUGUCUAAUGCUUAUUUGCACACUU
This 7517-nucleotide long non-coding RNA is filed under the name Coffea arabica (coffee). Its description in RNAcentral is "long non-coding RNA (CARA_LNC003286)". The record is from RNAcentral. Lineage: Eukaryota; Viridiplantae; Streptophyta; Magnoliopsida; Gentianales; Rubiaceae.